CUGGGUGGCUGGGUGACCUGAAAUGGUCACAGCAGAGGCACUAGUAGGGGCAACUUCUCAUGGCCUUGCCAAUGUGCUUUAAUUCAGUCAAGAAGGACAACCUCUUAAGAGGAAAGACUUCAGACACCGCUGCCAAAUCACACUUUUGCUUCU
Molecule: small RNA, 153 nt
Filed under: Panthera tigris altaica (Amur tiger)
Lineage: Eukaryota; Metazoa; Chordata; Mammalia; Carnivora; Felidae
Description: TUC338 (ENSPTIG00000003157.1)
Source: RNAcentral